AGUCAUAAAUACUUUGUUCUUGGUUUAAAAAUGUAUCCUUUCUGUUUGGUUGCUGUAAUUACUGUAGUUAUACUUACACUAUUUAUACAGAUAGUUUAGCUUCUUAAAUGACAAGGCCUCAUUUAUCUUCAUAGAGAAUCUGAUAUUAUAUAGAAGACAUUUUGAGAUAAUGAGCCCCUCUUCAUUAAGUUGCAGAUUCUACAGAGCUGUUACUGAAUGAUGCCUUUCCCUAAUUUUCCCUUUUUCCCUAGGCAUACGUACUGAAAUGUACUUUAACCCUAAUGACUCAGAGUAGUCCUCACUGUACACACUGAUCACUGUAGUUUCAUAGCGCAGCUCUCAGAAGCCAGUGAGACCAUUAGGAGUGUCUGCCUAGCACGCACUGGUCUGGGAAGACUGAAAUCCUCAGCUGUCACAGUGGUAGGAUGCCCACCUUUUAGCAGAUUUUUUUUCACCUUUAGCGUCUGUAGUCUGGGGGUAAGCCAGCUGCUUAGAAUCACUGUGUACAACGAAGGUCAGUGAACUUUGUG
This 530-nucleotide long non-coding RNA is filed under the name Bos taurus (domestic cattle). RNAcentral's name for it is "long non-coding RNA NONBTAT019420". The record is from RNAcentral. Lineage: Eukaryota; Metazoa; Chordata; Mammalia; Artiodactyla; Bovidae.